Molecule: RNA transcript, 642 nt
Organism: Acromyrmex echinatior (Panamanian leafcutter ant)
Lineage: Eukaryota; Metazoa; Arthropoda; Insecta; Hymenoptera; Formicidae
Gene: Phf5a
Gene name: PHD finger protein 5a
Source: RefSeq, a predicted model, not a curated record
UAUUGCACUACGUGCACUAGAAAUUCAAUUCAGAAAGUACAGAAAUAAAGAAGAGAUCUCUUAAUGACAACAAAUUAUAACAAAUUGAUAGAAAAAGUGACGAAGCUGAAAUCAUUAAACGAGCAUUUAGACAUAAUCGUUUUCUAAGUUCUCAAUUGUUUCAAGAGUGAAUAACAGCGUUUAGUAAACAUGGCCAAGCAUCAUCCGGAUUUAAUCUUCUGUCGCAAACAACCGGGAGUCGCCAUCGGUCGACUGUGCGAAAAAUGCGAUGGCAAAUGCGUCAUUUGUGACUCUUACGUGAGGCCGUGUACCUUGGUUAGAAUAUGCGACGAGUGCAAUUAUGGUUCUUAUCAGGGACGUUGCGUGAUAUGCGGUGGUCCCGGCGUGUCGGACGCAUAUUAUUGUAAAGAAUGCACGAUACAGGAAAAAGAUAGAGACGGAUGUCCCAAGAUAGUCAACUUAGGAAGUUCAAAGACAGAUCUCUUCUAUGAGAGGAAGAAAUAUGGAUUCAAAAGAAGAUAAUUACACUUUUUCUAUAUAGAAUUUUUCCUAAAAUAACAUUACGAGAGCAUCAGGUCUAAAUGAUCCGUUGCUGUAAUCCAGGGUUAAACGUGCAGCGCGACAUGAAAUGGCGAUCGUGAC